This is a long non-coding RNA of Drosophila nasuta, 631 nucleotides long. RefSeq lists it as uncharacterized. The record is from RefSeq and is a predicted model, not a curated record. The transcript has 3 exons. Lineage: Eukaryota; Metazoa; Arthropoda; Insecta; Diptera; Drosophilidae.
AAAAAUAAUGCCAAAUUUUGAAAAAAGGAUCAAAAAUUCUAGAUUUAGGUCACAAAAUUCUCUCAGUUAGUUGAUCUGUUGCGAACCAUUCUCUAUAGCAGUCCAAGAAAAAAGGGUUCUGGGAUCUCAAAUGCUGCACGAAUCGAUGAUAAAUAUUUCCGGCGAAGGAAAAAAGGCGAACGAACAGAGCACAGAGCACAGAGUCUCGAUUGGCAAUGCUCAAUUUGGACUGAUUCAGUGUCAGCAAUGACAUAAGCGCCAAACUGCACGACUUCACCCCAAGUGCGAAGGUGGCGAAGGUGAUACUACUUGUAGUAUGUAUGUAUGUAGGUGAUCAAAGUCGAGACAUUUGAGUUAUGACCCCAAGGAUGUCGCAGCAGCAGCAACAGCAACAGUAGCAGUGUUAUAGCUGCCAGCUAUGUCUGCAGUUUACAAGCAGCGGCAACGAGUGUGUGAAGAUCAAGCUGCAGUUAUGCUUGUCAAGAGUUUUAUAGCUGUCAGCUAUAAAAACGAUGCUUCCUAACAACUGAGUGUGAACUGAGAAAAACACUCAAAUUGUGUACAAUGUAAGAGAUUGGAGGAAGAGAUUCUUGUUAAGGGUUGCAGAAGUUGCCGCAUUGUUUGUCUGAUC